UUUAUGGAGAGUUUGAUCCUGGCUCAGGAUGAACGCUGGCGGCGUGCCUAAUACAUGCAAGUCGAGCGAACGGACGAGAAGCUUGCUUCUCUGAUGUUAGCGGCGGACGGGUGAGUAACACGUGGAUAACCUACCUAUAAGACUGGGAUAACUUCGGGAAACCGGAGCUAAUACCGGAUAAUAUUUUGAACCGCAUGGUUCAAAAGUGAAAGACGGUCUUGCUGUCACUUAUAGAUGGAUCCGCGCUGCAUUAGCUAGUUGGUAAGGUAACGGCUUACCAAGGCAACGAUGCAUAGCCGACCUGAGAGGGUGAUCGGCCACACUGGAACUGAGACACGGUCCAGACUCCUACGGGAGGCAGCAGUAGGGAAUCUUCCGCAAUGGGCGAAAGCCUGACGGAGCAACGCCGCGUGAGUGAUGAAGGUCUUCGGAUCGUAAAACUCUGUUAUUAGGGAAGAACAUAUGUGUAAGUAACUGUGCACAUCUUGACGGUACCUAAUCAGAAAGCCACGGCUAACUACGUGCCAGCAGCCGCGGUAAUACGUAGGUGGCAAGCGUUAUCCGGAAUUAUUGGGCGUAAAGCGCGCGUAGGCGGUUUUUUAAGUCUGAUGUGAAAGCCCACGGCUCAACCGUGGAGGGUCAUUGGAAACUGGAAAACUUGAGUGCAGAAGAGGAAAGUGGAAUUCCAUGUGUAGCGGUGAAAUGCGCAGAGAUAUGGAGGAACACCAGUGGCGAAGGCGACUUUCUGGUCUGUAACUGACGCUGAUGUGCGAAAGCGUGGGGAUCAAACAGGAUUAGAUACCCUGGUAGUCCACGCCGUAAACGAUGAGUGCUAAGUGUUAGGGGGUUUCCGCCCCUUAGUGCUGCAGCUAACGCAUUAAGCACUCCGCCUGGGGAGUACGACCGCAAGGUUGAAACUCAAAGGAAUUGACGGGGACCCGCACAAGCGGUGGAGCAUGUGGUUUAAUUCGAAGCAACGCGAAGAACCUUACCAAAUCUUGACAUCCUUUGACAACUCUAGAGAUAGAGCCUUCCCCUUCGGGGGACAAAGUGACAGGUGGUGCAUGGUUGUCGUCAGCUCGUGUCGUGAGAUGUUGGGUUAAGUCCCGCAACGAGCGCAACCCUUAAGCUUAGUUGCCAUCAUUAAGUUGGGCACUCUAAGUUGACUGCCGGUGACAAACCGGAGGAAGGUGGGGAUGACGUCAAAUCAUCAUGCCCCUUAUGAUUUGGGCUACACACGUGCUACAAUGGACAAUACAAAGGGCAGCGAAACCGCGAGGUCAAGCAAAUCCCAUAAAGUUGUUCUCAGUUCGGAUUGUAGUCUGCAACUCGACUACAUGAAGCUGGAAUCGCUAGUAAUCGUAGAUCAGCAUGCUACGGUGAAUACGUUCCCGGGUCUUGUACACACCGCCCGUCACACCACGAGAGUUUGUAACACCCGAAGCCGGUGGAGUAACCUUUUAGGAGCUAGCCGUCGAAGGUGGGACAAAUGAUUGGGGUGAAGUCGUAACAAGGUAGCCGUAUCGGAAGGUGCGGCUGGAUCACCUCCUU
Molecule: ribosomal RNA, 1551 nt
Filed under: Staphylococcus aureus
Lineage: Bacteria; Bacillati; Bacillota; Bacilli; Caryophanales; Staphylococcaceae
Also listed under: 1 other name
Description: 16S ribosomal RNA
Rfam family: Bacterial small subunit ribosomal RNA
Source: RNAcentral